GACGAACGCUGGCGGCGUGCUUAACACAUGCAAGUCGAGCGGUAAGGCCCUUUCGGGGGUACACGAGCGGCGAACGGGUGAGUAACACGUGGGUGACCUGCCCUCAGCUCUGGGAUAAGCCUGGGAAACUGGGUCUAAUACUGGAUAUGACUCCACGGUGCAUGUCGUGGGGUGGAAAGCCUUGUGCGGCUGAGGAUGGGCCCGCGGCCUAUCAGCUUGUUGGUGGGGNGAUGGCCUACCAAGGCGACGACGGGUAGCCGGCCUGAGAGGGCGGACCGGCCACACUGGGACUGAGACACGGCCCAGACUCCUACGGGAGGCAGCAGUGGGGAAUCUUGCGCAAUGGGCGAAAGCCUGACGCAGCGACGCCGCGU
RNAcentral lists this ribosomal RNA (374 nucleotides) under uncultured bacterium. RNAcentral describes it as "bacterial SSU rRNA". It matches the Rfam family "Bacterial small subunit ribosomal RNA", at positions 28 to 402 of the family's 1533-position model. The record is from RNAcentral.